This 10320-nucleotide long non-coding RNA is filed under the name Ananas comosus (pineapple). RNAcentral describes it as "long non-coding RNA (ACOM_LNC002598)". The record is from RNAcentral. Lineage: Eukaryota; Viridiplantae; Streptophyta; Magnoliopsida; Poales; Bromeliaceae.
AAAGAAGCGGGUUGGGCGCAAGCUGGCGUACCAGCGGGUGUAUGAAGAGCUGGGGGACGCAAUGGAGUGCCUGCAGCACAUGUACGUGGGCAAGGAGGGAAGCAAGAAGAACCACCCCUGCUCCUCAUCUGCCUGCUACCGCAACCUGCAGCUCCUCAUCCAACACCUCGCCGCCUGCCCCCGCAGGAAAGCCUGCCCCCGCUGCUGCCGCAUGUUGCAGCUCCUCCGCCUCCACUCCGCCAUCUGCGACGACAGCACGCAACAGGCUUGCCGCAUCCCUCUUUGCUCGUAAGUCUCUACGCUGCUAUCGUAAAAGAAUUUGUUAGUUAAUGCUUUUAUCAUCCGCCUACGUUCAGGUGUAUCUGAGUCAUUUGGCUUUCAUAUGACUGAUGAUUGUUUAGGAAACAUUGGGAGGGAGUAUGCUGAGUUGGUGGUUGAUUGAUUUUAUAGUCUAUUUGGUACCACUUCUGUAUCUGUUCUCAGCAGCAGCAGCAGCAGUAUCAAGGAGAAAUUCUGGAGCUUCUGCUGUAGCGAGAAACUGAAAUUAGAUUUUCAACGUCAAAAACGAAUUACGUAAUGCUUCUUCUAAUAGCACGACAUCUAUUGGCAGUGUAAUCGCUCUAAUGUUUGGGGAGUUUGACAUAUUUUUCCUUUUCUUUUUGUUAGAGAACAAACUUAACCACUGAUGCCCUGCUUGUUGGGUUUUCCGUCUAUACCUGCAGGCACUUCAAGCUGAGAAUGCAGCAGCAGAAGGAAGAUUCUCAGCAGCAGCAGAAGGAAGGGAAAGAAGAGGACGACACGUGGCAGCUUCUGGUGAAGAAGGUGAAGGUUGCUCGAGUUAUGUCCUCCUUCUCUAAGAGGAAGGGACAGGAAGGAGUUCAUGAGCAAUUCGCCCUUUGCUCUACUACUGCAAAGACCAGUGACUAAUGUCAUGGAAAUUUUCUUUUUCCUUUUGUUCUUUCCCCCCUGUUAGUAAGGAAUUAAGAUGCGCCUUCCUUAUAAAGAGAGCAGCUCGAUGCACGUAUAUGCAUGCCAAUCUUCUAGAGAGAGAGUUCUUAGCUUGUUAAAAAAAGGAGCAUGCAGCUGUUAUAGAAGUGAAACUUGUAUUAGAUAAUAGUUUGGUGUGUGUAUAUGUAUGUCUAUCUUCUAGAGAGAGAAAGAGUUUUUAGCUUGUAAAAAUGGGGCAGGCAGCUGUUAUAGAAGUGGAACUUGUAUUAGAGAAGAGUUUGGUGUGUGUAUAUGUAUGUCUAUCUUCUAGAGAGAGAGAGAAAGAGUUCUUAGCUUGUUAAAAAAUGGUAGGUAGCUGUUAUAGAAGUGGAACUUGUAUUAGAGAGGAGUUUGGUGUGUGUAUAUGUAUGUCUAUCUUCUAUAGAGAGAGAAAGAGUUCUUAGCUUGCAAAAAUGGGGCAGACAACUGUUAUAGAAGUGGAACUUGUAUUAGAGAGGAGCUUGGUGUGUAUAUGUAUGUCUAUAUUCUAGAGAGAGAGAGAAAGAGUUCUUAGCUUGCUAAAAAAGGGCAGUAGCUGUUAUAGAAGUAGAACUUGUAUUAAAAAGGAGUUUAGUGUGUUUAUGUAUGUCUAUCUUCUAGAGAGAGAGAAAGAGUUCUUAGCUUGCAAAAAUAGGGCAGACAGCUGUUAUAGAAGUGAAACUUGUAUUAGAGAGGAGCUUGGUGUGUGUCUAUGCAUGUCUAUCUUCUAGAGAGACAGAAAGAGCUCUUAACUUGCAAAAAAAGGGCAGGCAGCUAUUAUAAAAGUGGAACUUGUAUUAGAGAGGAGCUUGAUGUGUGUAUAUGUAUGUUUAUCUUUUAGAGAGAGAGACUUCUUAGUUUAUAUAAAAAGGGGCAGGUAGCUGUUAUAGAAGUGGAAUUUGUAUUAGAGAGGAGCUUGGUGUGUAUAUAUGUAUGCCUAUCUUUCAGAGAGAAUCACUCCAGCUGUUAUAAAAGUGGAUCUUGUAUUAGCAUAAGAACAAUUAGUUACAUUUUGCAACUAACUUAAGAUAUAAUAUGCAAUAAGAAACUUAAGCUGAUCAUGAUUUUUAAAUAUAAUUGAUUCAUCGAAUGACGAACGUACAAAUGUCUUUUUGGAUGCUUAGCAUAGUAUUUCGCUUUUGUUUACUCAAGAGUGUUGCAGUAAUUCUUGCAAUUGAUAGCCGAAAAAUGCGAUCAAUAUCUAUAACUAUAAUAUAUAAUAAAAAUAAAUGGGCUAAAAGACUCAAUUUUUAAUAAAAAUAAAAUAAUCUUUAUUUUUAUAAAAUAAGUUAUUAUUAAAUAAUUUAUUUUACCAUCCAAAUGAACCUUAAAAUUUACAUUUCCUCCGCAUUUCCUGGUAAUGAAGCUGACCCUAGUUUUCUCCAUGCAAAUCAGGUUAGAGUCGAUAGAUCAGAAUGUCGUAAUCAAAUUACAAUCUUUGAAGUUUCCCUAAUGAAAGAGAUCUCUAAGUUAAGAAAUUCGAGUCUAGUCUACAGUAAUUAAAGAUUAUUUGACGUGUAGAAUUAGGUAUGCAUGUCAGCAAUGACUAAGUUGAAAAAGUCCAUUAGUACGUUCUAUUAAUUUAAUUCAUCGUCACGCCUUUUACUUUAUGAACUUGACCACACGCCUAAUGACAGAUCAAUCACUCCAGAGAUCAUUUACGCGCUGAUGAAACAAUUUUUAUUUCAUUUAGCUGCUGAUCGCAAUUUUGUCCGAUGAAGCCGCCUUAGGAGGACCGGAAUUCGAGAAUUACGCAGGAGUAAAACUUAAUAAAGAGGUUUUCUUACUCCGAACUAUAACCGCCUAUUUGGUACAUUUGACUGAAAAUUGAGUUCCUAAUUUUCAACAAUUUAGUACGGUAGUCCAACGCAAAAUUCACGAAGUUUAAGUGAAGCCAAAGUAACUUCUGCCGUGAUCAAGAAGGACACGAGCCAACAGCUCAUCCGUGGCAGCAUUAGACCGACGGGCCACAGACGAGCAUCCUUGGCUUGGGGCAAAGCUUUGGCAGAGAGCGGAAAAGGUUCUGGUCCUUCACAGCCUCGGGUCGGGAUACAGCACGGCACGGAUACUAUAAUACUAUUGCCAGGCCAGACCGGCCUGAGCCUCUGGGCUGUGCUGGGCUGCUCCUCUGUGGCCCGACGGCCUGGCACGGCGGGAGGCCGAUCUUCAUACUUGGGAUAUUUUUUGAAUAUCCCAUCAACCAAUAUCUCAAUAAAUUCAUGGACCACAAUUUUAUGGAUGUACAGAUACAGCAGAUUUUAGUGUGUUCAGAUCGAGAUAUUUGGACAGCUUGCAACAACUAGUACUAUUUUUUUUUUUUUUUCCCCUCAAAAAAGAAAUAAUACUAAGGUACAUUUUAAUUUAUUAUGAUAAAAAUAUUAGAGGUUGAGAGGAUACCACCCUCCAUAAGUUUAGUCGAGUCUCUUUCUAAGCAGCGUCAGUUCUGACAUUUACGACUAAACUUCUAAUAGCCUGAUGAUAAUGUACACGUAACCUAUACACAUAACGUCCUAUCUUAAGAUUAUGACGUUCCAACUUGUGUCUGUGCCCAUAAGAUUUUUUCUUGGGCCAAGUGUUUAGAAUAGAUUUUUGAAAUAAAAGAAAUAAGGAAAGAAAAAAAAGAAAAAGACAUUGAGGUCGCUUCUGGCCCCAGCUUUUCAUAAAAUCUACACGCGCCGUGCUCGACCCGAAGGGACCAUGGAUUGCAGUGGCGAUAGAACAAUCUAAAUCUAAGCAUCCAACCCAUUUCAUUCAAUUUGAUCCUAGCCGUUGGAUUUCAUAGUGCUAAUUAAUGUUGCCAAAGAAUUAUUCGUUAAUUACUCGUAUUCUUUUUUUGUUAAUUGCCCGAAUCUUUUUUUUUGAAAAAUAAAUUUUCUCUUAAAAUAGUUAGUGUUGUGGGUUUAGAUCGAAAGAUUUAGACAUGACAGAAUGACCGGAUGGUCCACAGCUAGUGCAGUGCUCUAAGCAAUAAUUUAACAUUGCUUAAUUUGUCGUAUAGCCUGGCUAUUUAUACAUUCCAAAAAAAAAAUAAAUUUUACAACACAAGUUGUGUCGAUGCGUGUGGCUAUUUAUACAUUCCAAAAAAAUAAUAAAUUUUACAACACAAGUUGUGUCGAUGCGUGUGGCUAUUUAUACUUUCCAAAAAGAAAAAAUUUACAAUACAAGUUGUGUCGAUACGAGUGGCUAUUUAUACUUUCCAAAAAAAAAAAAAUUUACAACACAAGUUGUGUCGAUACAUGUUGUUCACAAAAUAAUAACAGUAAAUAUUUAUCUUUGUCACGCCCAUAUACUAUUAACUAUUUACUAAUUUAUAAGAAAAGUAUUAUUUUUUUAGAGAGAUAGGUAGCUUGCUACCUGCUUCGUUUAUUUUGUUUAAAAAUAAACUUAGCUGGAAAUGUGAAUCAACUAGGAUUCGAAUCUGGAUCUCGGGUACCAACCACCAAGUCCUUUGCCACUUGUUCUAGGGACGGUCGGUAAAAAAAAAAAAAAGUAAAUUUUAAAUCGUGUCAUCACCUUACGGUAGGAAAAUUAUACUAUGCUGAUAUUUUGUUGGUACCACACAACGCAGCAGGAACUUAAAAUCUUUGGAUCCUUUACUUCUUUUAAUCAAAUUCCAUUGCAGGUAUUUGCAAGACAUUAGUAAGUAUAAAAAAAUGAUAAGAAAAUGUUGAGAAGAUAUCUUGCCACGUCGGUAUAAAAGACAAAAUUUCAAAUUUAAUAUUCAAUGAUAUGGAUUCAUUACAAAAAAUGCGACAGAAUAAUUUGCCAAAUAUAAAAAGAAAAGGAGCUUAAUUUGAAGGAUUUUACAAUUGUAUAUUUUCUAUUACAAAUCUCUAUAUAUUAAUAAAGUUUCAUUCCUCACUCGAUGUGAGAGGAAUUCACCAAUUUUAAAUUUUCUUUAUGGUAUCAAAGCAGAAGGUCUUGAGUUUGAAUCACGCCAGGUUCCUAGCAUAUUAAUUUUCUCCUAUUUAAUUUAAGCCCACAUCAUAGGUCAACUAAAAAGUCUCGAAUUCAUGCGUGAAGGGGAGUGUAAACAUAACUGUGGCAAAGAAUUUAUACUGUGGUCCAAGGCCACUUAAGAGCCAAAAAAUCUUACUUUGAUCAGAGACAGGUUUGCCAAUAGCAUUUAAUUGAUCACAAAUCGACUUAAACUCUCGCAAAUAUGCAAAUAAGGAAGAUGUAUCAUUCUUUAUAUAUUGAAGUUUCGAAAGUAAUUCAAAUUCACGAGCCUGCGAAUUUGGAGAAAAUGUAUAUGCAAGAGCUUGCCAUACACCUGUUGAAGUCUUCACAUCUACAACAAGUCUCAGGACUUCUUCGGAGAGAGUUCUGGUGAUCCAAGUUUUCACUAGACGAUUCGUACGCGUCCAUGCUGUGAAAUCUGAAUUUUAAAUUUUGCUACUUUUGUCAGAUGAAGGUACUUCAUGAUGUGGUGGCUUUGAUUCUCCAGUGAUGAAACCAAGUAAAUCGCGACUCUCGAUUAAUGAUAAUACUUGUGUUUCCUACAGUAAAUAAUUGGCUGUGGUAUUAAUUUGAGAGAAAUGAAAUUAGCAACAUGGAGGUUGGAUAAAUAUGGAUAUUUGGAGGUUGAAGUCAGUAUCUUUGAGAAGGUGGUAGUCUUUCGGUAUGGCUCUGAUACCAUAAAGAAAAUUUAAAAUGAAUGAAUUCUUCUCACAUUAGGUGAAGGAAGAAAUUUUAUUAAUAUAUAGAGAUUUAUACAUGAAUGAAUAGAAAAUAUAUAAUUAUAAAAUCUUUCAAAUUAGGCUUUUUUUUUCUUUGUAUUUGACAAAUUAUCAUGUUGUGAUUUUUUUUUUAUAAUAAAUUUAUAUUAUUGAAUAUUAAAUUUAAAAUAUUGCCUUUCAUGGCCGGACAGUUGCAGUUGGUGCGGCCGGGAGGUGGGUCUGGGAGCUGAGCUGUCUGUUGUUUCGGAUCAGAACGGAGCCGCUGGCGUCCGCGUCAGCAGCUUCCGGGUCGGGCGGCUGGCAGCGGGGACGGAGUCGCUUCGGCGCUCCAANUCUCUCUCUCUCUCUCUCUCCCUCUCUAAUCGCCCCUUUGAGCCCCCCUUAAUAGCUUACGUCACUAAUGAAAUCAUCACCUACUAGCAAAGCCGGUUAGUCGGUGAGAGGACAAAUCGCAUUUAGACCCUCUGACCCUUCCGAAUGUUGCCAUUAUAGAUCCCUCUUGUAUUAAUCUAUAUUUUUUUUUCAAAUGUUGCCAUUAUAGAUCCCUCUUGUAUUAAUCUAUAUUUUUUUUUCAAAAAAAAAUAUAGUAAACCAUCUGUUCUAUUUUUUAAAAAAAAUAAAUUAAGUUAUAAAAAAAAGAAAGGUCGAGAGGGUGAGAUUGGACCCUAGAACAGUCUAUCACAGCUAGACCAAUCUUUACCGCAGAUUAUCCAAUCUCCUAUCCGAGUAAAUAUAUUGUUUACGAUCUGUAAAUAUGAUUUCUUUUGAUGUUUGAUUGUUCAGAAAUUCUGUUAUUUCUUUCUAACUAGAUCGUCCGCUACGAGGAUGUAAGCACGGUAAGUUUCUCACUUCUUCUUUGUAUGUUUUGAAUUUUUUUUGUUAUCUUUUAAAGAUCACGUUCUGGUUGUGCAAUGUGAGUAUAGAAGAAUAUCUUUAAAAUAAACUUAUAUGAGUAAGGCUUACUUUGUGAUGUAUUAAUAAGCUUAUAUGAUAUUGUUAGAAUGCGUGUGUUAGUAUAUCAGUUUUCUCCAUAUCAUCAGUAUUAAUAUAUUAUAAUAGUAUUUUGAAAAACUUACAGUAAUAUUUAAACUUUGAAUAGUCAUAUAAGUUUCUGUGUUUAUUUUAUUAGUUGACUACGAAAAUCAAUUUUCUUCUCAAUUGUUUCAAACUUUUUCUUUUUUCCUGUUAAUUUCCUGUCACCUCUAAACAUGCAAUUAAUUAAUUAAUAAAAACAUAUAAGGGUACAUAUGCAAAUUUCCCCCAGAUUAAAAUCAAGCCUACUGGUGGGGGCGGGUCCUUCUGCAGCCUUUUUGCCCUUCCCGCCAUUUCGGCUCCGCCUUUAUCUUUUAAGUUAAAUAUAAUAAAAUAAAUAAAUAAUCCAACUUUUUUCCCUUUUUUUUAAAAAUAUUUUUUAUUAUUUGAGUUACUUUGUCUUGGCCCCCACCCACUCUCUCUAUAUAUAUAGAGGCCAGAGGAAGGCCACAGUCCACAAUCAAAAGGAGAGGGAAAAAAAUCAUCACACGCAAACUCGCGGAGGAGAGAAAAAGGGAAAAGAGAGAAAAUUAAGUAGAGAGAUUCAUAGAAAAGAAAAAAAAAAAGAAAAAAAAAAAAAGAAGAUUUGUUUAGAAGAGAGAUGGACGCGAAGGGCGGUCGCGUCCAGAACGGAUUCCGACAGUGGCUGGAGGCGGGGAGCGACGCCAUCCCCGCUCCGGAUGUUCAAAUUUUGACCUCCGGUGGCCGCAAAAUUUCCGCCCAUUCUGCAGUUCUUGUGAGCACCCGAAACCUUCAAUUGAAAAAACAUUCAAAACUUUAUGUACUACAAUACAAUUAGAUACUCUCGAAUCGCAGAAGCUCACUGAGCACACAAUCGAUGUCUAAUCAUAUGCACUUUUUUUAAAAAGUAUUAAAUUUAUAUUUGUUUGUUUAUUUGUUUGUUUGUUUGUUUGUUUGUUUACAGGCCGCGGCGUCGCCAGUGAUGGAGAGUAUAUUGGAUCGGGCACAAAAGCGUGGAAAAUCGCGCAGGGUUAUUAGGAUUCUGGGAGUCCCCGAUGACGCUGUAAUGGCGUUUGUGCGGUUGAUCUACUCUUCUGGGUAUGUGUUCUUUUUUUUACCUUUUUUCCCUUCUUUUUUUUUUGGGGUUAAAUUGAUUAUAUUUAAAUAUUUAGUUAAAGAAAGGAAAAGUAAGUCUAAUGCAUUGAGGACCCUAUGUUUAAGGAGAAAUUAUUGCCCUGUAUCGUGAUGUAGUACCAUGCUCUGCUUUUAAUUAAAAAUAUUUUAAAUUUCGUUUGAUUCGGAUAUUAAUAAAAAUUAUUUAUUGUAGGAAUAGGUGCGAGUUCCAUUAUAAGCAAGAAUUAGAGUAAAUUUUUGUUUGUCAUUAUUUCUGAAAAUAAAAUAAAUAAUAUUUAAAUAGGUUUCAUUUGAUUCGGAUAUAAAUAUGAACUAUUUAUUGGAGAAAUAGUUACAAAUUCCUCUAUAUGCUGGAACUAGGGAGGGUUUUUUGGGAUUGUUUUUAAAAAUAAGAUAAAUAGUGUUUGAAUGGGUUCCGUUUGGUUCGGAUAUAAACAAGAACUACUUAUUAUAGGAAUAGAUACGAAUUCCGCGAUAAGCAAGAAUAAGGGUAAGUUUUUUUUUUGAAAUUAUUUUUGGGAAUAAAAUAAAUAGUGUUUGAAAAGACUUUGUUUGGUUCAGAACAGACAAGAACUAUUUAUUGUACGGAUAGGUAUAAGUUACGGUAUAAGCAGGAACUAGAGUAAGUUUUCAUUUGGGCUGAUGCACGGCUAAGCUGGUGCAUCGGGUGCUCGCAAUAAUUUCUCUUUGGACCCAUGUAAUCAUCAUGCUCAUCGUUAUCACAUGCACUGUUCGAAACUAAAGAAAAAAAAAUCAAGGGUCCAGAAUCUUUCUGAUGGCUCUGAGAAUUUCACAUUUCCCUGUCGAAAAUUAUUAUUUUUUAUUUUUUUUAAUAUUUAACUUAAUUCUUAGCUGGGGGUCCCACGCAACUCUUAUGUCGUCCCCUUCAUCCAAUCACAGCCCUCACACGGUCCAUUUCGUUCUAAUGAUGAUAGGCAUAAUAAUUGACUCAACACCACCGAGAAAUUUCGAGAUAUUUUUUUCGUGCUUCAGAUUUUUUUUUGGGGGUUCAUGUGCCACGAUGCAUACAUAAUGCAUAGUCACAAUAAUUUUAGUUUUUAUUUUUUUCACUUCAUUAAGGUAAUGAAGAGUACACAAAUUUUGGAUGUGACUGAAUAUCAAUGAAUAAUAAAAAAUAAAUUAAUCAAUCAAUAUAAGCAUUUUACACACCGUUUAUAAUAAAAUAUUAUAUUAAAUUUAAUCCGAAUGCUGAACUUAUGGCAUACUGAGUAGUACAAACGGAUCAUGUCAUGUCAAUCAGGUGCAUGUCGUUGGACGAGGAGGAGGAGAUGGGCAGGUACGGGCUGCACCUGCUGGUGCUGUCGCACGCGUACAGCGUGGGGUGGCUGAAGCGCGCGUGCGAGGUGGCGCUGGCGUUGCGGCUGACGGCGGAGGGCGUGGUGGACGUGUUGCUGCUGGCGCGGCAGUGCGAUGCCGCGCGGCUGUACCUCCGCUGCAUGAAGCUGCUGGCGAAGGACUUCGCCGCCGUCAAGAAGACCGAGGCCUGGCAGUUCCUCCAGGCCAACGACCCCUGGCUCGAGCUCGAAAUCCUCCAGUUCCUCCAGGAGGCCGAACUGGUACGUGACCAAAAUGUAUUAUGUUUGGUUUUGCCGUAGAAUAUAGUAAUUUUUGACAAUUCAUAUAAAUAAAUAAAUAGAUAGAUAAAAAGAUAUAAAAUUUAUCUGAAUGAUGAAUUAUUUUAAUAGAGAAAGAAGCGAGUUGGGCGCAAGCGGGCGUACCGGCGGGUAUAUGAAGAGCUGGGGGACGCGAUGGAGUGCCUGCAGCACAUGUACAUGGCCAGAGAGGGAAGCAAGAAGAACCACCCCUGCUCCUCAUCUGCCUGCUACCGCAACCUGCAGCUCCUCAUCCAACACCUCGCCGCCUGCCCCCGCAGGAAAGCCUGCCCCCGCUGCUGCCGCAUGUUGCAGCUCCUCCGCCUCCACUCCGCCCUCUGCGACGACAGCACGCAACAGGCUUGCCGCAUCCCUCUUUGCUCGUAAGUCUCUAUGCUGCUUUCUUAAAAGAAUUUGUUAGUUAAUGCUUUUAUCAUCCGCCUACGUUCAGGUGUAUCUGAGUCAUUUGGCUUUCAUAUGACUGAUGAUUGUUUAGGAAACAUUGGGAGGGAGUAUGCUGAGUUGGUGGUUGAUUGAUUUUAUAGUCUAUUUGGUACCACUUCUGUAUCUGUUCUCAGCAGCAGCAGCAGCAGUAUCAAGGAGAAAUUCUGGAGCUUCUGCUGUAGCGAGAAACUGAAAUUAGAUUUUCAACGUCAAAAACGAAUUACGUAAUGCUUCUUCUAAUAGCACGACAUCUAUUGGCAGUGUAAUCGCUCUAAUGUUUGGGGAGUUUGACAUAUUUUUCCUUUUAUUUUUGUUAGAGAACAAACUUAACCACUGAUGCCCUGCUUGUUGGGUUUUCCGUGUAUACCUGCAGGCAUUUCAAGCUGAGAAUGCAGCAGCAGAAGGAAGGGAAAGAAGAGGCCGACACAUGGCAGCUUCUGGUGAAGAAGGUGAAGGUUGCUCGAGUUAUGUCCUCCUUCUCUAAGAGGAAG